CCUACGGGUGGCAGCAGUGAGGAAUAUUGGUCAAUGGACGAGAGUCUGAACCAGCCAAGUAGCGUGAAGGAUGACUGCCCUAUGGGUUGUAAACUUCUUUUAUAUGGGAAUAAAACGUUCCACGUGUGGGAUUUUGUAUGUACCAUAUGAAUAAGGAUCGGCUAACUCCGUGCCAGCAGCCGCGGUAAUACGGAGGAUCCGAGCGUUAUCCGGAUUUAUUGGGUUUAAAGGGAGCGUAGGUGGAUUGUUAAGUCAGUUGUGAAAGUUUGCGGCUCAACCGUAAAAUGGCAGUUGAAACUGGCAGUCUUGAGUACAGUAGAGGUGGGCGGAAUGCGUGGUGUAGCGGUGAAAUGCAUAGAUAUCACGAAGAACUCCGAUUGCGAAGGCAGUUCACUGGACUGCAACUGACACUGAGGCUCGAAAGUGUGGGUAUCAAACAGGAUUAGAUACCCCUGUAGUC
Molecule: ribosomal RNA, 460 nt
Filed under: uncultured bacterium
Lineage: Bacteria
Description: partial 16S ribosomal RNA
Rfam family: Bacterial small subunit ribosomal RNA
Source: RNAcentral